GACGAACGCUGGAGGCGUGCUUAACACAUGCAAGUCGAACGAUGAAAUGGAGCUUGCUCCAUGGAUUAGUGGCGAAUGGGUGAGUAACACGUGAAUAACCUGCCCUUAAUUUUGGAAUAACCCAGGGAAACCUGGGCUAAUACCGGAUAAAUAAACCUGUGGCAUCACAUGGUUGUGGAAAGUUUUUCGAUUAAGGAUGGAUUCGCGGCCUAUCAGCUUGUUGAUGAGGUAAUGGCUCACCAAGGCGACGACGGGUAGCCGGCCGGAGAGGGGGAACGGCCACACGGGGACUGAGACACGGCCCAGACUCCUACGGGAGGCAGCAGUGGGGAAUAUUGCGCAAUGGACGAAAGUCUGACGCAGCGACGCCUCGUGAGGGACGAAGGUCUUCGGAUUGUAAACCUCUUUCAGCAGGGACGAAGCGAAAGUGACGGUACCUGCAGAAGAAGCACCGGCUAACUAUGUGCCAGCCGCCGCCGUAA
This 482-nucleotide ribosomal RNA is filed under the name uncultured bacterium. RNAcentral's name for it is "partial 16S ribosomal RNA". It matches the Rfam family "Bacterial small subunit ribosomal RNA", at positions 28 to 523 of the family's 1533-position model. The record is from RNAcentral.